UGGUGGAGUGAUUUGUCUGGUUAAUUCCGUUAACGAACGAGACCUCGACCUGCUAAAUAGUUCUAGUCAUCGUGAGAUGGCUGGAUACUUCUUAGAGGGACUAUCGGUGGUUAGCCGAUGGAAGUUCGAGGCAAUAACA
This 139-nucleotide ribosomal RNA is filed under the name uncultured eukaryote. RNAcentral's name for it is "partial 18S ribosomal RNA". It matches the Rfam family "Eukaryotic small subunit ribosomal RNA", at positions 1299 to 1458 of the family's 1831-position model. The record is from RNAcentral.